GGGGAAUUGGCGCAAUGGUAGCGCGUAGUGAGUGCAAAAACGACGACCUAAAAUACUCUUUCUAAUCAGUAGUUCAGGCUCUCCUAUUCAACACCUGUAGGCAAGCUAAGGCUGUGGGUUCGAGUCCCAUGUUCCUCG
This 138-nucleotide transfer RNA is filed under the name Cyphellophora attinorum. RNAcentral describes it as "Phialophora attae tRNA". It matches the Rfam family "tRNA". From Rfam's summary of the family: Transfer RNA (tRNA) molecules are approximately 80 nucleotides in length. Their secondary structure includes four short double-helical elements and three loops (D, anti-codon, and T loops). Lineage: Eukaryota; Fungi; Ascomycota; Eurotiomycetes; Chaetothyriales; Cyphellophoraceae. The record is from Rfam by way of RNAcentral.